Long non-coding RNA from Halichondria panicea, 1716 nucleotides. RefSeq lists it as uncharacterized. Lineage: Eukaryota; Metazoa; Porifera; Demospongiae; Suberitida; Halichondriidae. The record is from RefSeq and is a predicted model, not a curated record. The transcript is spliced from 3 exons.
AAGCGUCGCUGCGCAUGCGCAGAUCUGAGAGUAAAUUCUACAGGAUCAGUAGGCUUUCAUAAGGAAGAGCGAGUUAGUGGAAAUUCCGGGCCGUCUUGAAGAGUGCGGGUGUGAACUUGAGUUCUUAUGCUGGCCACAGUUUUCGAAUUGGAGCAGCAACGACAGCCGCUAAACAUGGACAGUACUACUGUAAAGAAAAAGAAGCAGCGUUCAUCCCAGAAGAGGCAGAUGAGGGAAAUGGAUUGGGAGAGAAGGGUGUUCCUUCAUAAAUGGAAAGGAAUUAUCUGAUGCUGAGAAAGGAUUCGAGGACUCAACUAUUAAAAUGCUUGCAUUCCAGGCCUACAUUCAAACACCCAAUACAACCUUGGCGGCAAUGUCGGCAAGAUUGAUGGACAAAGGACCGUCAGGAUCAUCGUGAAUGACAACACCCCAUCCCACAAUGAUCAAGUCUGCUAAACUAUGUACUGCACAUUGAACGUGUUUUCUUUGCUGUGUAUAUCUACAGAGCCAACACUAGUACUUGUGUGUGUGCUGGGUUAACAAUGUUCAUAUCACCUGCAGAUCAGUUGUAGGCCCACCAGGAUCUCUCCUCCGGAUCCAACCAUCGAUAUCAUCACUAUUGAGGAUCCAACCAUCAACAGUAUUGAAGAGGUAGGUGUGCAUGUGUGUUGUGUAUAAUAAUUAUGGUGGUGUUCUGUACUUCAAUAUGGUGAAGAGACGUCCUCCUCUGAAGGUACAACAAACCCGGACCUAGUGCAGAUCCCACAAGAAAUCCUCAUGGCUAAGAUCAACUUCGUCCAAUAUCUUGUGUUAUGGCAAGAAAGAUGUUGUGGAGCCUGACCACAUUGAAACGGGGCAAGCUGGAGCAUCAUUGUCACCCACACAAGCGAGAAUCCCGGAGACAAUCCCAACAACUUCUCAGUCUGUGGAAGACACAUCCUUCCAAGAACUUCUCAGUCUGUGCAAGAGACUUCCUUACAAAGAUUUACCGUCUCCUUCAACAACGAAAAGGAUUUGUGUAUAAGAAAUGACAACAACAGGCCAAAAGCUGUACAAGAAAUGACAUCAGCAGCUAGAAGAAGAAUUGGCCAAACAGGAAUCAUGGAAGCUACUUCUUAUUCUGUGCAUGACACUUCCUCUCUGUACCGUCCCCUGCAACAACAAAUAUAAUUUGUGUGUCGGAGAUGACCUCGAGAGUUUGAACUUCCUUGCAGAGAAAUUGACCAUCAAUCAUCUUCUCAUUCUGUGCAUGACACUUCCUCUCAAAAAUGUAUCGUCCCCUGCAACAACAAAUAUAAUUUGUGUGGUGGGAGAUGACAUAGAGACUUUGAAUAAAAUUGAAGUGACCCAUCAAUCAUCUUUUGUGGAGACAAUCCCAUUUAACGUCCCUUGCAACAAAAAUAAUGUGUGCUCUGUGAGAGAUGACCUCGAGAACCCGGAGGAAGAAGUGGUUCAACAAGGAAUGUCUCAAUCAUCAUCUGUUUCAUUGUAGAUGGCGGGACUCCCCACACCAGCAUCAUUAUCAGCUGUCACUAAGAACUGGAAACGCUGACAAGGCAUUCCAAGCAGGGACUCCUCGAGAAAGUGAAUAGAGAAGCUGGUUGUUGUCAUGGCGCUAUCUAGAUACAUCACGUUGCCACUGUCGGUUACGUUGAAUAUGGAGAGAGUGUAGUUGGUGCUGACCAGUGGGGGGGCGUUGCCGGGUCGAUCCCAUAC